This 99-nucleotide ribosomal RNA is filed under the name uncultured bacterium. RNAcentral describes it as "partial 16S ribosomal RNA". It matches the Rfam family "Bacterial small subunit ribosomal RNA", at positions 1384 to 1482 of the family's 1533-position model. The record is from RNAcentral.
UACACACUGCCCGUCACGCCAUGGGAGUUGGUUUUACCUUAAGUAAGUGAGCUAACCGCAAGGAGGCAGCUUACCACGGUGAGGCCGAUGACUGGGGUG